RNAcentral lists this ribosomal RNA (497 nucleotides) under uncultured bacterium. Its description in RNAcentral is "partial 16S ribosomal RNA". It matches the Rfam family "Bacterial small subunit ribosomal RNA", at positions 28 to 507 of the family's 1533-position model. The record is from RNAcentral.
GAUGAACGCUGGCGGCGUGCCUAAUACAUGCAAGUCGAGCGAACAGAUGAGGAGCUUGCUCCUCUGACGUUAGCGGCGGACGGGUGAGUAACACGUGGAUAACCUACCUAUAAGACUGGGAUAACUUCGGGAAACCGGAGCUAAUACCGGAUAAUAUAUUGAACCGCAUGGUUCAAUAGUGAAAGACGGUUUUGCUGUCACUUAUAGAUGGAUCCGCGCCGCAUUAGCUAGUUGGUAAGGUAACGGCUUACCAAGGCAACGAUGCGUAGCCGACCUGAGAGGGUGAUCGGCCACACUGGAACUGAGACACGGUCCAGACUCCUACGGGAGGCAGCAGUAGGGAAUCUUCCGCAAAGGGCGAAAGCCUGACGGAGCAACGCCGCGUGAGUGAUGAAGGUCUUCGGAUCGUAAAACUCUGUUAUUAGGGAAGAACAAAUGUGUAAGUAACUAUGCACGUCUUGACGGUACCUAAUCAGAAAGCCUCGGCUAACUACGUG